This 256-nucleotide ribosomal RNA is filed under the name uncultured bacterium. RNAcentral describes it as "partial 16S ribosomal RNA". It matches the Rfam family "Bacterial small subunit ribosomal RNA", at positions 524 to 776 of the family's 1533-position model. The record is from RNAcentral.
UACGUAGGGUGCGAGCGUUGUCCGGAAUUAUUGGGCGUAAAGGGUGCGUAGAUGGUUUAAUAAGUUAGCGGUGGUAAAUCGAGGCUCAACCUCGUGGAAGCUGGUAAUACUGUUAGGCUUGAGUGCAGAAGAGGUUAAUGGAACUCCAUGUGGAGCGGUAAAAUGCAUAGAUAUAUGGAAGAACAUCAAUAACGGCGAAGGCAAUUAACUAUUCUGCUACUGACAUUGAGGCACGAAAGCGUGGGGAGCAAAACGG